Molecule: ribosomal RNA, 460 nt
Filed under: uncultured bacterium
Lineage: Bacteria
Description: partial 16S ribosomal RNA
Rfam family: Bacterial small subunit ribosomal RNA
Source: RNAcentral
CCUACGGGAGGCAGCAGUGAGGAAUAUUGGUCAAUGGACGAGAGUCUGAACCAGCCAAGUAGCGUGAAGGAUGACUGCCCCGUGGGUUGUAAACUUCUUUUAUAAAGGAAUAAAACGAGGCACGUGUGCCUUUUUGCAUGUACUUUAUGAAUAAGGAUCGGCUAACUCCGUGCCAGCAGCCGCGGUAAUACGGAGGAUCCGAGCUUUAUCCGGAUUUAUUGGGUUUAAAGGGAGCGUAGAUGGGUUGUUAAGUCAGUUGGGAAAGUUUGCGGCUCAACCGUAAAAUUGCAAUUGAUACUGGCAGUCUUGAGUACAGUAGAGGUAGGCGGAAUUCGUGGUGUAGCGGUGAAAUGCUUAGAUAUCACGAAGAACCCCGAUUGCGAAGGCAGCUUACUAAACUGUGACUGACAUUGAUGCACGAAAGUGUGGGUAUCAAACAGGAUUAGAUACCCCAGUAGUC